CGAUUGUGCAACAAACGACUCCUAGUAGCAAAAUUUCGAACUGCAUGAAAAUUUUUAUUCCUCGAACGUCGUCUGCUCGAAAUUGAACGUGAUGCCGUUACGUGAAAAAUCGCCGGUAUAGUCUAUCUAUUAUACGGCUCUGAGUGAAACUGUAUCAAUACUCUUUGUGAUGUACUUGAACGUUAGAAAAAGGUAUACUAGCCCAUAAUUUUCACUAGGCCCAAUUAUUUGAUCACAUGUUCUUGUAACAGCUGUAGGCUACAUUACGCUAAAAUAUCUCUUGCCACCUGUACUUGUUAUAGUGUCGUACAGCUUUUUCAUCCCUUGCAGACAACACUUAAAGUAAAGAUUGUACACAAUUCAUUAGUUCAAAAAACAAUGGUUCCAAUAGCACCCUUCAGAUUUUCAGUUUCCAGCCACAUCAGUGAUAAGGGACUUUUGUGGAAACUCAAAUGAAAAACUCUGGUAACAGAUAAUUAAUGUUGCUGAAAAUUCAAUAUGGGUUUAAUUAUUCUACAACAUUUUGGUUCACAAACUGAAGAAUACAAAAAAAAAAUGGGAGCGCUAUGCUGAACUCGUCUUUAUUUUGAGUUUGAUAUUGAAUAACAUCUAGAAAGUUUGAAACAUUUAUUCUUGCAUAGCUGUAAAUGAAGACUUUAUGGACACUUUAAGGACUGUAGUGUGUAUUGAUUACUCAACAGAUAAACUCAGAUGCUUGAAGAAAACUUGCUGUUAAAUAAAUAAUGGUGAACUAGCAACUUGCUGAGGACUCCAUCCGCACAGUAUUCUCCAAGCGUAGAUGACGGGAUUCAUGGCCGAGUUGAUCCAUCCGAGCCAAUUGACAAUCGUGCCGACUAAUUCUGGGUCGUGAAUACAAGACUGGCAAAAAGCGGACAGCAAUGUUGUGACGAAGAACGGUGACCAACAAACGACGAAGACUCCCAUCACGAUACCCACGGUCCUAUCAGUUUGCGGAUCAGAUUGAGUUUAGCGAUUGGGAAGUAACGUCCGGAUUCGCUGUCGCUAGCGACAACUGCCGAUGAAGUUACAGACAACACAGUUUUUGGUGCGGAUAUCUCCGCCUCUGGUGAGGAAUGGCGGCGACCAAUCGUUCGUUUGAUGCUGGACGAUGGAUCGGGUGUUUGUAAAACAUCAUCGCGGUCAAAAUGGCCGCGACGGCAGCACAUCUACGAAUUUCCGACGCGGCUCUGCCUCCGCGAUGGAUGCGCAACAUUAAUGAAGUUACGACCCGCUUGGUGCCAAGGCGAAGGGAUCGUGACUGGGCCACAGCUGCCCGGUAGAUUCGGUAAUAAGUGAAGAC
Long non-coding RNA from Daphnia pulicaria, 1321 nucleotides. RefSeq lists it as uncharacterized. The record is from RefSeq and is a predicted model, not a curated record. The transcript is spliced from 11 exons. Lineage: Eukaryota; Metazoa; Arthropoda; Branchiopoda; Diplostraca; Daphniidae.